AUGGAGCGGUACGUCGUCGCCCCCUAUCUUCGCGCCUACCUACACCGAUUCGCAGCUUCGGUGUCCGCGGCGAGCUGCGACGCGGGGGAGGUGGGCGGCGAUGUCUGCCGCAACGAGGAGGCCGCUCUGCGGCUCAAGAUGGUCGCCGUCGCGGCCAUCCUUGUCGCGGGCGCCGCCGGCGUCGCCAUCCCGCUCGUUGGCCGCAGGUGGCGUGGUGGGGUUGCAGCCGGUGGGGGCGGGUACACGUUCGUGCUCGCCAAGGCCUUCGCCGCGGGGGUGAUCCUGGCCACGGGGUUCGUGCACAUGAUGCACGACGCCGAGGAGAAAUUCCAGGACCCUUGCCUCCAGGACUCGCCGUGGCGGCGGUUCCCCUUCGCUGGCUCCAUCGCCAUGCUCGCCAGCCUAGUGACACUGGUCGUGGACUUCCUCGGCACCCAGUUUUACGAGCGCAAGCAGCGCGAGGCGGCUGCCGCCGCCGCAACGAGCGCCCAAGAUGAGACAGCGGCGGCGCUGCUGGAGGACGGGAGGAAUGCAGGAGGCGCGAAGCGUGAAGGAGCGGUGCACCACGGCCACGGCCAUGGCCAUGGUCACGAGAACGAGGCGGGCCCGUCCCAAGGUCGUCAGGUGGUUGUUUCCCAGAUUCUGGAGUUGGGGAUUGUAUCACACUCGGUGAUCAUCGGGCUAUUGUUGGGUGUUUCGCAGAGCCCGUGUACCAUCAAGCCUUUGGUUGCUGCCCUCUCCUUCCACCAGUUCUUCGAGGGUUUCGCUCUAGGUGACUGCAUUUCCCAGGCCCGGCUGAAGGGUCUCUCUACGCUCUUGAUGGCUUUCUUCUUUGCCAUCACAGCACCCACAGGGAUCGCCGUGGGGGUGGCCAUGGCGUCAUUCUACGACCCAUACAGCCCCAGGGCGUUGGUGGUGGAGGGCAUUCUUGAUUCCAUGUCAGCUGGUAUACUGAUCUAUAUGGCACUUGUGGAUCUCAUCGCGGCUGAUUUCCUUGGCCAAAGGAUGAGCAGCAGCCCGGCCAGGCUGCAGGCUGGUGCAUACAUUGCAUUGUUUUUCGGGGCCAUAGCCAUGGCAUCCCUUGCCAUCUGGACUUAG
This 1098-nucleotide ribosomal RNA is filed under the name Triticum aestivum (bread wheat). RNAcentral describes it as "partial small subunit ribosomal RNA". The record is from RNAcentral. Lineage: Eukaryota; Viridiplantae; Streptophyta; Magnoliopsida; Poales; Poaceae.